Molecule: long non-coding RNA, 1013 nt
Filed under: Anolis carolinensis (green anole)
Lineage: Eukaryota; Metazoa; Chordata; Lepidosauria; Squamata; Anolidae
Description: lncRNA (ENSACAG00000043294.1)
Source: RNAcentral
UACAUUUCUAUUAACUAUUACUAUUUGUAGAUUUAGCAUUCUAUUGAUUUCUCCUUCAAUCAUUCUCCAGUAUUCUUGCACCCGAUCGCACUCCCAUAUCAUAUGAUUGAACACCCCUCUUUGUUCACAACCGUACCAACACCUAUCUUUCAUCCCUGGUAAAAACCGUGAAAGUUGUGCAGGAGUUCUGUACCAUUUUUGUAACAUUUUCCUUCUUGCUUCCCUUAAUACAUUGUACUUUUCUUUUGCUAUAUUACUUAUUUCCCUUUGUAUAUCUUCCCUCUCAAUUUCCAUGUCCAUUCUCCAUGUUUGGAAAAUUUCCUCUACUAUUUCUUCUUUUACCGUUAUAAUUUGUUCAUACAGAUCUCCUGCCACCUUCUUUUCCUCUCUCAAACAUUUCCUAAUCACCUUCUCAAAUGGACUGUCCUGUUCUCUAAUUUUUUCUCUGAUAUUUAAGUUCCCUUGCAUUACCCUCUCUUCCUUAUAUAGAUCUUUAUAAUAUUUUGCCAUUAUCUCCCUAAUCUUACUUUGCUCCUCUUGUUCUUUCCCAUUUUCGUCUUUCAAUCUCUUUAUACAUGUUUUUUCUUUUUUCUUUUUCAAAUAGUAAGCCAUCCUCUUCAUUGAUUUUAUAUUCCAUCUUUGGGAAUAGCUUUUAAGGUAUAUUUAUUUAUUAUAUUCCUUUCCUCAAAUGCUUCUAAUUGUUUUUUUUUAUCCUUUAGCUCUCUCCAAAUCUGUCUAUCCUUAGUCCUUUUAUGUUUGUCUUGCAGGGUUUCUAUUUCUUUUAUUCUCUUAUCCUGUUCAUUCCUCCAUCUCCUUCUAAGAUUUACCUCUAAACUUAUACAGUGACCCCUUAUCACUGCCUUACUUGCAUCCCAAAUUAUAUCUUUAGUUACUUGUCCAUUGGCAUUGGUCUCGAAAUACUUAUUUAGUUCUUUCCUAAUUGUUUCAUAUUCUUCCUCUCUACUGUUUAAAACUGUGUUAUAUCUCCAGGUUCUUUCUUUUCUUUCUAUUUC